Molecule: transfer RNA, 74 nt
Filed under: Chloroparvula japonica
Lineage: Eukaryota; Viridiplantae; Chlorophyta; Chloropicophyceae; Chloropicales; Chloropicaceae
Description: tRNA-Asp
Rfam family: tRNA
About the family: Transfer RNA (tRNA) molecules are approximately 80 nucleotides in length. Their secondary structure includes four short double-helical elements and three loops (D, anti-codon, and T loops).
Source: RNAcentral
GGGGAAAUAGCUCAGUUGGUUAGAGUGCUGGCCUGUCACGCCAGAGGCCGCGGGUUCGACCCCCGUUUUCCCCG